RNAcentral lists this ribosomal RNA (194 nucleotides) under uncultured prokaryote. RNAcentral's name for it is "partial 16S ribosomal RNA". It matches the Rfam family "Bacterial small subunit ribosomal RNA", at positions 524 to 717 of the family's 1533-position model. The record is from RNAcentral.
UACAGAGGGUGCGAGCGUUAAUCGGAAUUACUGGGCGUAAAGCGUGCGUAGAGGGCCAUCUAAGUCGGGUGUGAAAGCCCCGGGCUCAACCUGGGAAUUGCAUUCGAGACUGAAUAGCUAGGGUACGGUAGAGGGAAGCGGAAUUUCCGGUGUAGCGGUGAAAUGCGUAGAUAUCUGGAGGAACACCGGUGGCG